Long non-coding RNA from Alligator sinensis (Chinese alligator), 2466 nucleotides. RefSeq lists it as uncharacterized. The transcript has 8 exons. The record is from RefSeq and is a predicted model, not a curated record. Lineage: Eukaryota; Metazoa; Chordata; Crocodylia; Alligatoridae.
AGCGUCCCGCCCGCGCCCCUUCUGCCCCCGGCUCGCUCGCCCCGGGCGCCCCCGCCCCCGCCCCCGCCCUGGCUGCAAGGGCUCGCCACCUGCACGCAAAUAUCCUCCACCCCAGCCUAGGGCUUCAGAUGCUUCCAAGUCCUUUGGCAGGUGUCCUAAUGAAUGUGAACCUUAAAGCAGCUGCAGGCAGCCAGACUUUCGAUGCCGAAGCCCCCACCCCGGCACAGUUUCAUCCUAGGGACACGGACGUGGUGAACAACAGCGGUGACUAGAACUGGGUCCCCAGGACUAUGUACACCUGCCAGAGCCUGCUAAAAAGUUAAUCCAGUCCUGACCAGAAAUAACCAGCAAGACUUUGGUUAAAAGCAGACAAGCUCUGCAGACAGGAAAUGGGUCACCACAAGCCGGAAGGACCUGGGUGCCACAGGCCAGAGUCACCAGACGAAGAUGAUAGAGAUUCUGAAGAAGAAAUGUCAGUCGUGUCCAAACCCAUGGAAGAAAUAUGUUGUCUGCCUCCUGGUGCUGGUGCCAGUGAUAGCAGUGACAGUGUGGCUUUGUAAGACAUCGGGGAUGCACGACACAGUCACAGAAUAAGACGCUGACACCUUCCUCCAGUUCCUCUUCCAGCUCCUCCAAGUUUGUGGCUACUUCUCCGGUUCCUCCUACAAAGGCCAGCCCCGCAGGGAUAGUUGUCUCCAGCCCUAUCCUCCUCAGCCACUCUGCAUGUGUCACCUUCUGUAAAGAACAAGGUCGGCAACUGAUCAGCUUUGACAUGAGACAGCUAUACAAGGGAAAAGCUGGCAGUGCGACUAGCUCUGGGGUGAAGUGUCAUGGCUGGCUGUAACAAGAUGCUGAGAUACUGCGUCUCAGGAGCAGUCGGAGCAUUACAACAGCGUGUGGGUCCAACCCUCUUCAACUGUGCAUGAGCGUGGGAUCUGCUUCUCAUCCUCUAGGUAGGAGCUCAAGAAGAGUGGCCUCAGCGUAGUCGGGCCUUGCUAUUGCAGGAGAUCACCACCACCGCCACUCCCUAGACCCCAGAGGGCUGCUGGGCCUAGCCCAGGUAUGGAUCGAUGGGGAGCUUAGAGCAUUUCUGUCACACCCAAGCUGCAUCUUUUCUUGUCUUCCCCACUCUGGGCUGGAAACCUGGGUCUUCAGUGCUGUAAUUACAGGUGGCCAGGGGAGAAAUUCCACUUCCAGCGCACAGCAGAGCAGAGCUAAUUUAUCUGCGCUAUUCAUACCGUAUUACCUCAUAUGCGUGAGGUAGAGGAUGAAGGCCCCCCUCCCCACCUUCAGGACAACUCUUUCCAACCAGACUGGUGUUAUUUAUGAGUUCUGCUUGCUUCCUUGGAUUUCUCCACCCCCUGCCAGGGGUCUAAUGGGGCUCCCAGGAGGUGGCCACACUACACCUUUCCCAGCCCCAAGGGUCACAGAGCUUCAGAGCCAAGAACAACCCUGAAAGGCUUCAUCUGUGUGCAGGGACCAAGGUUGGCAAAAGGGGGUCUCUAAGGUAUGAGGGGAGUCAAUGGCAGCAGGUCUGGUCUGCUCUGGCCUCCCUCUAGGGUCUGUCCUAUACACUCCAUUUCUAUGAAGCACUGGCAAGGGGUGGGGAGUUAACUUAAAAGUGAAGGCAUAAACUCAUUUUGUAAAUCUUUUCCCAGGGGCUAUAGCACUAGGAAGACAUCUGCCUCCAGCCUUCCCACCAUGUGCAGGAACCUGGCAGUGAACAAUGUUUUCUCUCACACAUGCACAAUAUUCAAUAGCAUUAAGGAGGUGGGGUUUGGCCCUGAGCUCUGCUGAUCAUGUCGUGGGUUGGGAAGGUGGAUCUCUGCCUGAAUGGAAGCAACCCAGACAUGCAUGAGAUGCAUCUCAAGGGAUUUUAAGACUCCCCAAAUGGAUACCAGAUCCAGGGUCAGGAAGGAAUCCCCCCUGCCCGCCCCCCGCCCCAUAGUUAAGCUGGUCUGGAGUCAGGGGGUUUGUCCUCUACAGCAGGGGCAUGGCCUUGGCCUGGGGUCUCUCAAGUGUCCGCUACUAACCCUUCACAGCAGCAGGACGUUGGCUGCUGUGGCCCCCCCCGCCCGCCCCGGCCCCCCGCUUUCCCUGAGGCUGAGGUGAUGUCUGGUGCUCCAUUGUGUUGCUCAUAAGUCAGAUACGGGUUUACGUGGACUGGUUUGCACAAGGCUGGAGCUGCUUCAGGCAGGGCUUGGACUGGAUGUGAUCUCAGUGCAAGGGGCGGGGUGGGGUGGCCUUUCCAGCCCCAGUUCUCUAUGGCUCUGACUUUUCCCUGGAGGGUCCUUUCCAGCCCCCCUCACUGCACUUCCUGUGCACACUGCGACAAUCCCUCUCCCUGUCUCACUCUACCCAAGGGAUUCUCCGUUCUUUUGUCCCCACUUUCCUUUUUAAACCAGACUUGUCUUCAUGAAUAUGAAAGGGGAUCUCCUGGCCCCUCUCCAGGGCGUUUACCUGACU